UUACUCUGUACCUGCAUUGCUGACAGGUUGACGGUUAUCUUUUCAAUGAGGAGGAGAAGCGCUACGUGAAGAUCAUCUGGGAAAAAUUGAACCCGGAAUAUGAGGUAAAAGCAGCUAAGGAAGCAGCCGCGUUAGCUGCAAAGGAGGCUGACGAGUCCAUUUUAGCUAACAGUUCGGAGGAUGUGCAAGCUGCACGGGAGCUUUCUGCUGCUGCUAAUAAUAAUGUUGCGAAGUCAAGAAAGGAAAAACGACAGAAAAGGGCUGCAGAACUGAAAAAUUCUGGUCCUGCUCAAACCCCUGCAGAAGCAACAAAGCAAAUGUUAACUAGGAAGAGGCUGAACUCUAAGAUCAACUUUGAUGUGCUAGAAAAGCUUUUUGACGAGUCUGCAAUUCGAGAUAGCAAAAUUGAUCCCGAAGUAGACGAGACGUACGAAGAACCAUAUGCGUUACGAUGAGGAUGUUGGAGGAUAUGAAUAUGAUUAUGACUAAUAUUGAAUUAAUCUGCAUUCCUUAUUAUUAACUUAAUGAUUUCCCCUUACAAAAAGAGUAUAUGAGAAGUCAGGUAACACAUUUUCCUUCACUUGUAUAUUAGGAAUUGUUGGUCCUGGUAGCCAAUUGAAUGUCAAAGUUAUUAGUAUGUUUUAAUUAUAUCAAUGACUAAUUUAUUUCCUGGGAACACCUCCCUGUACUGGAA
Molecule: non-coding RNA, 694 nt
Organism: Nicotiana tabacum (common tobacco)
Lineage: Eukaryota; Viridiplantae; Streptophyta; Magnoliopsida; Solanales; Solanaceae
Source: RefSeq, a predicted model, not a curated record